Molecule: ribosomal RNA, 253 nt
Filed under: uncultured bacterium
Lineage: Bacteria
Description: partial 16S ribosomal RNA
Rfam family: Bacterial small subunit ribosomal RNA
Source: RNAcentral
UACGUAGGGUGCGAGCGUUAAUCGGAAUUACUGGGCGUAAAGCGUGCGCAGGCGGUUCGUUAUGUCCGUUGUGAAAGCCCCGGGCUCAACCUGGGAAUGGCAAUGGAAACUGGCGGGCUAGAGUGUGGCAGAGGGGGGUGGAAUUCCGCGUGUAGCAGUGAAAUGCGUAGAUAUCAGGAGGAACACCGAUGGCGAAGGCAGGUCUCUGGGCAUUAACUGACGCUGAGGAGCGAAAGCAUGGGGAGCGAACAGG